This 78-nucleotide transfer RNA is filed under the name Pseudaquabacterium terrae. Its description in RNAcentral is "tRNA-Pro". It matches the Rfam family "tRNA". From Rfam's summary of the family: Transfer RNA (tRNA) molecules are approximately 80 nucleotides in length. Their secondary structure includes four short double-helical elements and three loops (D, anti-codon, and T loops). Lineage: Bacteria; Pseudomonadati; Pseudomonadota; Betaproteobacteria; Burkholderiales; Sphaerotilaceae. The record is from RNAcentral.
CGGCGUGUGGGAAAGCCUGGCCAAUCCGUCGCGUUCGGGACGCGAAGACCGGCGGUUCAAAUCCGCCCACGCCGACCA